Molecule: RNase P RNA, 345 nt
Filed under: Phototrophicus methaneseepsis
Lineage: Bacteria; Bacillati; Chloroflexota; Candidatus Thermofontia; Phototrophicales; Phototrophicaceae
Description: Bacterial RNase P class A
Rfam family: Bacterial RNase P class A
About the family: Ribonuclease P (RNase P) is a ubiquitous endoribonuclease, found in archaea, bacteria and eukarya as well as chloroplasts and mitochondria. Its best characterised activity is the generation of mature 5'-ends of tRNAs by cleaving the 5'-leader elements of precursor-tRNAs. Cellular RNase Ps are ribonucleoproteins.
Source: Rfam by way of RNAcentral
CAGGUUGACCGGAGAAUCGCGGUGUGCAAACGCCGAGGAAAGUCCGCACUCCAUAGGGCACGGUGCUGGCUAACAGCCAGGCGGGGGAACCCGACGGAAUAGUGCAACAGAGAGUAAAUUGCGUCACAUUUGUGGCGUGAGGGUGAAAGGGUGCGGUAAGAGCGCACCGGCGCUGGCAGUGAUGUCGGCGGCCAGGCAAACCCCACCGGGAGCAAAGUCAAGCAGGUGCAUAGGGGCGGCCCGUCCCGCUUAAGCACCGGGUAGACUGCACGAGGUGUACGGUAACGUGCAUCCCAGAUAGAUGAUUCUCUAGAACAGAAUGCGGCUUAUGGGUCGGCCUGGAUU